GGUUGACCUCGGAUCAGGUAGGGAUACCCGCUGAACUUAAGCAUAUCAAUAAGCGGAGGAAAAGAAACCAACAGGGAUUGCCCCAGUAACGGCG
This 94-nucleotide ribosomal RNA is filed under the name Recurvomyces mirabilis. RNAcentral's name for it is "partial 28S ribosomal RNA". It matches the Rfam family "Eukaryotic large subunit ribosomal RNA", at positions 1 to 91 of the family's 3401-position model. The record is from RNAcentral. Lineage: Eukaryota; Fungi; Ascomycota; Dothideomycetes; Mycosphaerellales; Teratosphaeriaceae.